GGACCCGCACAAGUAGUGGAGCAUGUGGUUUAAUUCGAAGAUACGCGCAGAACCUUACCAACACUUGACAUGUUCGUCGCGACUUUAAGAGAUUAAAGUUUUCGGUUCGGCCGGACGAAACACAGGUGCUGCAUGGCUGUCGUCAGCUCGUGUCGUGAGAUGUUGGGUUAAGUCCCGCAACGAGCGCAACCCUCACUUUUAGUUGCCAUCAUUAAGUUGGGCACUCUGAAAGAACUGCCAGUGAUAAGCUGGAGGAAGGUGGGGAUGACGUCAAGUCCUCAUGGCCCUUACGUGUUGGGCUACACACGUGCUACAAUGGUAUCUACAACAGGAAGCGAAACUGCGAGGUUAAGCAAAUCCUUAAAAGAUACCUCAGUUCGGAUUGCACUCUGCAACUCGAGUGCAUGAAGCUGGAAUUACUAGUAAUCGUGGAUC
Molecule: ribosomal RNA, 435 nt
Filed under: uncultured bacterium
Lineage: Bacteria
Description: bacterial SSU rRNA
Rfam family: Bacterial small subunit ribosomal RNA
Source: RNAcentral